AUGACCCAGGCUGAGGUGGGAGCACAGCUUGAGCCCAAGAGUUCGAGUCCAACCUGGGCGAGAGAGUGAGACCUUCCCCCGCACCGCCUAAUCUCUUAAAAAAACCCAAACUGGGACUAAGACGCUCAGGUUUGGUGUGGACUUUCCUUCUGAACAAAGAAGGCAUAAACUUUGGGAAUGGUCACGGGGGCAGCAGUGCUUCUCCAACCACAGUCUCUCUAAAACGCGGAUUCUGAUCAGCAGUUCUGGAUGGGGCCGAGAUUCUGCCUUCCCAGCAUUUCCAACAAGCCCUUUGAGCUGUACGGUCUAGAAAACCUUAAAAUAUUUCUAGCUUCUGGUUCAAUCUCUUUUUGAGAUCCAGCUGCGUGCCUGCCUGUAAUUCUCCCUUAUGCCUAUAUCCUUCUAAACAAAGUCUCCCCUCUGGCUUGAAUUAUAGUCAAAGUGGGGGGUCUGUUCUAAGCAAAUGAACAGUCCUAUGUAACAGAAAAUUAACUUGCCCUACACUGGGACUUCACCAAAUAGGAAAAAAACCCCUCCUGAUUUGGUAAUGAGAGCUAACAGUGACAGCUCAAAAUGGCUUCCAUGUAGGACCCACUGAAGCCCACUGAGGCCCACUGAAGCCUGGCUCGAACCCUCGUAGAUGAGUUCUAGCAUCACUUUCAUUUUACUAUUGUGGAAAUGAAAACACGGUGUCUAACUAAGACAAGAAAUCUCUGUUCAGAAAUACAAUUUGGUUCACUUGCUAAGGAGAAUGGGCUGAGCACUGUGAUAAGCCAUCUUUCAGAGAUACACUUAAGCACUUUGCAAUCAAUGGAUGGAAGGAACCAAACCUUUUCUUCUUGGCAGCUACUGAGAUAUCCAUGGAACUAACAAGGAAACAAGGAAGUGAGACAUGAAGUAGCUUGCAUUGCUGACGAUUCCUUAAUGAUGGAACAGGACUGACAUCCAGAACGGAAUAAUUUUAAUAACAAAUAAUGUCACUGGUAUGUGCAAAGUGCAAAAGUAAUGACAUAGACCUUCGUUAGAAUCUUGACAUUGUCACUUAACAAUAGUGACUAUAAGCUUGGGUUUUCUCAUCUGAAAAAUGGGAGAAGAGAGGUUUCUAAUUCA
Macaca mulatta (Rhesus monkey) is the source of this 1110-nucleotide non-coding RNA. Lineage: Eukaryota; Metazoa; Chordata; Mammalia; Primates; Cercopithecidae. The record is from RefSeq and is a predicted model, not a curated record.